AACAAGGCGUACCUGCGGACCUGCGGAAGGAUCAUUACCAGAGAGCCUUUUGGCACUCCAACCCAUUGUGAACAUACCUAUCGUUCCCUCGGCGGGCUCAGCGCGCGGGGCCUCCGGGCUUCCGGGCGUCCGCCGGGGACAACCAAACCCUGAUUUACUACGUGUAUCUCUGAGGGGCGAAAGCCCGAAAACAAAAUAAAUCAAAACUUUUAACAACGGAUCUCAGAUCGGAAGAGCACA
RNAcentral lists this unclassified non-coding RNA (240 nucleotides) under soil metagenome. Its description in RNAcentral is "partial contains 5.8S ribosomal RNA, internal transcribed spacer 2, and large subunit ribosomal RNA". The record is from RNAcentral.